Molecule: non-coding RNA, 104 nt
Organism: Acanthosepion pharaonis
Lineage: Eukaryota; Metazoa; Mollusca; Cephalopoda; Sepiida; Sepiidae
Source: the annotation of a GenBank genome assembly
ACGGCCUUAUCACGAUUAAACACCGGUUUACGUACGAUCACCGAAGUUAAGCAACGCCAAGCCUGGUCAAUACUUUGUUAGUUGACUACUUGGGAACACCAGCU